CCUAAGGUUAUCAUUGGGGCACACCUGAUUUCAUGUUUUCUUGGAAGCUCAGCUGGUCCAUGCCUGGUCUGCCCUGGAUGGGAGACCACCUGGGGACACCUAUGUGAGUUUAUGC
RNAcentral lists this ribosomal RNA (115 nucleotides) under Monopterus albus (swamp eel). Lineage: Eukaryota; Metazoa; Chordata; Actinopteri; Synbranchiformes; Synbranchidae. The record is from RNAcentral.